RNAcentral lists this unclassified non-coding RNA (273 nucleotides) under Hevea brasiliensis (rubber tree). The record is from RNAcentral. Lineage: Eukaryota; Viridiplantae; Streptophyta; Magnoliopsida; Malpighiales; Euphorbiaceae.
AAGAGUCCGAGCAACAUAGCUCCUUCGUUGAUCAUACAAUCAACAAAUAUGACGUUUGUGCUAUCUUUACAUGGUUUCGGUUAGUGCUAAAAGGUUAACUGUUAUGGUCCCCUGUCGUGGAUCUAUGUAUGGGUCGCUACAAGAUAAAUUGUGAUGUUUUCUUCCUACGACCUAUGGUGCUGGUUCAUUAAGAUAGAAUCUGCAAUCUCGAGUUAAUGUACUCAAAAACUUUAGAAUUAUUUUAUGCUUAGAUUUUCUUGAAUUAACAACGUU